This 253-nucleotide ribosomal RNA is filed under the name uncultured bacterium. RNAcentral's name for it is "partial 16S ribosomal RNA". It matches the Rfam family "Bacterial small subunit ribosomal RNA", at positions 524 to 776 of the family's 1533-position model. The record is from RNAcentral.
UACGAAGGGGGCUAGCGUUGCUCGGAAUCACUGGGCGUAAAGCGCACGUAGGCGGCUCUUUAAGUCAGGGGUGAAAUCCUGGAGCUCAACUCCAGAACUGCCCUUGAUACUGAGGAGCUUGAGUCCGGGAGAGGUGAGUGGAACUGCGAGUGUAGAGGUGAAAUUCGUAGAUAUUCGCAAGAACACCAGUGGCGAAGGCGGCUCACUGGCCCGGUACUGACGCUGAGGUGCGAAAGCGUGGGGAGCAAACAGG